Molecule: ribosomal RNA, 473 nt
Filed under: uncultured bacterium
Lineage: Bacteria
Description: bacterial SSU rRNA
Rfam family: Bacterial small subunit ribosomal RNA
Source: RNAcentral
GGGGGCCCGCAAGCGGAGGAACAUGUGGUUUAAUUCGAUGAUACGCGAGGAACCUUACCUGGGCUUAAAUGUAGAGUGCAUGCGGUGGAAACACCCUUCCCUUCGGGGCUCUCUGCAAGGUGCUGCAUGGUUGUCGUCAGCUCGUGCCGUGAGGUGUCGGGUUAAGUCCCAUAACGAGCGCAACCCUUACCGUUAGUUGCCAACAGGUCAAGCUGGGGACUCUAGCGGGACUGCCACCGUAAGGUGAGAGGAAGGUGGGGAUGACGUCAAAUCAGCACGGCCCUUAUGUCCAGGGCUACACACGUGUUACAAUGGCCGGUACAGAGGGCAGCUACUCCGCGAGGAGAUGCUAAUCUUGAAAGCCGGUCUCAGUUCGGAUUGGAGUCUGCAACCCGACUCCAUGAAGUUGGAUUCGCUAGUAAUCGCGCAUCAGCCAUGGCGCGGUGAAUACGUUCCCGGGCCUUGUACACACC